GGUUAUGAUCAUACCAGCACUAAUGCACCGGAUCCCAUCAGAACUCCACAGUUAAGCGUGAUUGGGCGAGAGUAGUACUAGGAUGGGUGACCCCCUAGGAAGUCCUCGUGUUGCAACCCC
RNAcentral lists this ribosomal RNA (120 nucleotides) under Helianthus annuus (common sunflower). Lineage: Eukaryota; Viridiplantae; Streptophyta; Magnoliopsida; Asterales; Asteraceae. The record is from RNAcentral.